This 208-nucleotide long non-coding RNA is filed under the name Carica papaya (papaya). RNAcentral's name for it is "long non-coding RNA (CPAP_LNC010821)". The record is from RNAcentral. Lineage: Eukaryota; Viridiplantae; Streptophyta; Magnoliopsida; Brassicales; Caricaceae.
AAUACUUAAAUAGGGGCUAUGAGAAUGCUUUUAAAACUCAAAUGAAAAAAAAUAUUAGAAAUAAAUUUGAUUAACCUCUACUCGAAACUGAGGAAAUGGAAUAAAUAAUCCUAUAACUGGUCUUUUGCUCUUCAGAAUAUGAGUCUUGAUCGUCCUGAUCUAAAAUUGUUAAUAAGAAAGGGGUGAGCAAUAUUAACUCAGUAAGAAU